AUAAUGGGUCAGCGACUUAUAUUCUGUAGCAAGGUUAACCGAAUAGGGGAGCCGAAGGGAAACCGAGUCUUAACUGGGCGUUAAGUUGCAGGGUAUAGACCCGAAACCCGGUGAUCUAGCCAUGGGCAGGUUGAAGGUUGGGUAACACUAACUGGAGGACCGAACCGACUAAUGUUGAAAAAUUAGCGGAUGACUUGUGGCUGGGGGUGAAAGGCCAAUCAAACCGGGAGAUAGCUGGUUCUCCCCGAAAGCUAUUUAGGUAGCGCCUCGUGAAUUCAUCUCCGGGGGUAGAGCACUGUUUCGGCAAGGGGGUCAUCCCGACUUACCAACCCGAUGCAAACUGCGAAUACCGGAGAAUGUUAUCACGGGAGACACACGGCGGGUGCUAACGUCCGUCGUGAAGAGGGAAACAACCCAGACCGCCAGCUAAGGUCCCAAAGUCAUGGUUAAGUGGGAAACGAUGUGGGAAGGCCCAGACAGCCAGGAUGUUGGCUUAGAAGCAGCCAUCAUUUAAAGAAAGCGUAAUAGCUCACUGGUCGAGUCGGCCUGCGCGGAAGAUGUAACGGGGCUAAACCAUGCACCGAAGCUGCGGCAGCGACGCUUAUGCGUUGUUGGGUAGGGGAGCGUUCUGUAAGCCUGUGAAGGUGUACUGUGAGGUAUGCUGGAGGUAUCAGAAGUGCGAAUGCUG
This 688-nucleotide ribosomal RNA is filed under the name Escherichia coli. RNAcentral describes it as "partial 23S ribosomal RNA". It matches the Rfam family "Bacterial large subunit ribosomal RNA", at positions 612 to 1299 of the family's 2925-position model. The record is from RNAcentral. Lineage: Bacteria; Pseudomonadati; Pseudomonadota; Gammaproteobacteria; Enterobacterales; Enterobacteriaceae.